AUACGUAGGUGGCAAGCGUUGUCCGGAUUUACUGGGUGUAAAGGGUGCGUAGGCGGGGCAGCAAGUUGGAUGUGAAAUCCUCGGGCUCAACUCGAGAACUGCAUUCAAAACUGUUGCUCUUGAGUGCAGUAGAGGCAAGCGGAAUUCCGGGUGUAGCGGUGAAAUGCGCAGAGAUCGGGAGGAACACCAGUGGCGAAGGCGGCUUGCUGUGCUGUUACUGACGCUGAGGCACGAAAGCAUGGGUAGCAAACAGGAUUAGAUACCCUGGUAGUCCAUGCUGUAAACGAUGAUUACUAGGUGUGGGUGGACUGACCCCAUCCGUGCCGGAGUUAACACAUUAAGUAAUCCACCUGGGGAGUACGGCCGCAAGGUUGAAACUCAAAUGAAUUGACGGGG
Molecule: ribosomal RNA, 396 nt
Filed under: uncultured bacterium
Lineage: Bacteria
Description: partial 16S ribosomal RNA
Rfam family: Bacterial small subunit ribosomal RNA
Source: RNAcentral